RNAcentral lists this long non-coding RNA (830 nucleotides) under Heterocephalus glaber (naked mole-rat). RNAcentral's name for it is "lncRNA (ENSHGLG00100040346.1)". Lineage: Eukaryota; Metazoa; Chordata; Mammalia; Rodentia; Bathyergidae. The record is from RNAcentral.
GGCUUAGUGAGGAGUGUUUCCGUAUUGGUCGUGGUUGACCUUCCCCCCACCUCUAACCCAGAAGACGAGUGAUAGAUCUGCCCUAAAACCAAUCAGAAGUCUUCAGGAUGAGGCCGCGCAGUGCCCUAUAAAAAGCAUACAGUUUGCACCUUAGAGGUGCAGUCUCUCCCAGGUGAGGUAGGGGUGUCCUCCCGGUCUGCCGCUUCCCUCGACCCCCCCACCUGGGCCCUCGAUGCAUCGGGCUCCUCCUCUUCCAGCUGUCACUUUCUCCCCAUUUCUAACCUGCAGCUUGACUCAUCCUCCACCACUAAAAAGUACUAGGGCCAGCUCCCUCCACCACCACUUCACUUCUUCCGUGUCUACCUCUUAAGGCUGGCCUCGAACUCGCCUCGAUCCUCCUGCCUCAGCAUCCUGAGUGCUGGGAUCACAGGCGUGUGCCCCCAUGCCCAGCCACCUGAGCCCUCCAAAGAUGGCUUCUUUGGCUUAAGGAUUUCCCAGGAGCCUCUGCGUCUCCCCUUCACUCCUGCGGUCUGGUCUUUUGUUUGGACGCCUGUUCCCUCUGCCUCCAGGGAAGACUUUCCAAGCCAUCCCUGUCCUCUCCUGCGCAGGCUUGAGAAGGAUCCCAGGGACACAGACCCAGGGUGCAGGCGUCACUUUUGCUUGCCUCCUGGGAUCUCAGUGACCCAGGCUGCCCCAGGCGUCUGAGCCAUGAGAAGUGGCAGAAGCUGGGACCGCGAUCCCCUGCCCCCUGCCUGCCCUGCCCGGCGGGCCGGGCCUGACCGCACCCUGCUCCUUUCCUGUGCCCACUGCUUUGCCCAGGCCAGUGGCCG